AGUGGAGGAAGCAAACCCUCCUGCCAACAGCCCCGGGUCUGAGCUUGAGCUUGGAGGUGGGCAGCCCAGCCUCAGACGACCGCGACCCCAGCCGACUGCUUGACCACAGCCUCAUGAGGAACCCUGGGCCAGAACCACCCGCUAAACCCCUCUCAGCUUCCUCAACCUCAGAAACCGGGCCCGCUAAUGCUCGGAGACAGGAAGAGGCAGACUCAGAGGCUCCGGUGGGAUGGGGCCACCUCUCCUCACCAGCAAGGAGGUAAAGAGCAGAAGCUCAAAGUCCUCAGCUCACAUUCCACCCGGAACGGUGAAAAGGUGUCGCUAAGACUAACAGGAUGCAUCAGUGCUUGUCUUUUCCAGAAACCAACCAGCCACAUAAGAAAUCUUUAAUUAACAAACAUAUUUAUAAGAGUGGAAAAAAUCAGAUCAGUGGGAAUGAAGCAACUGACCCGAGUUCUUCCCUGGCCGCCCGGGAGAAGAUGAUGGAGACAGCACGUAACAUUCUGUUCCUCUGCUUUGCUCAUCUCCAGGCUGUCGGGAUGAUGGAAAAAGUGCAUCUUACCCUGGAACCAGUUUGAUAAGGUGGAAACAUUCUCAAACAAAAGUCGUAAGACGGAGUUUGUGCCUGGAAUCUAUUGAAAUUUGCUAUAGGCUGAAUGUUUGUAUCCUCUGAAAUCCACAAAUUGAAACUUAAUUCCCAAUGGGAUGAUAUUUGUAGAUGGGGCCUGUGGGAGGUGAUUAGGUCAUGAGAGUGGAGCCCUCAUGAAGGGGACUAGUGCUCUUAGAAGAGGCCCCAGAGAGCUCCCUUCCACCUUCCACCAUGUGAGGACUCAGUAAGAAGGCGGCCUCUAUGAACCAGGAAGUGGGCGCUCACCAGACACCUAACCGGAU
Molecule: long non-coding RNA, 891 nt
Filed under: Equus asinus (donkey)
Lineage: Eukaryota; Metazoa; Chordata; Mammalia; Perissodactyla; Equidae
Description: lncRNA (ENSEASG00005028695.1)
Source: RNAcentral